This 774-nucleotide ribosomal RNA is filed under the name uncultured Neocallimastigales. Its description in RNAcentral is "partial large subunit ribosomal RNA". It matches the Rfam family "Eukaryotic large subunit ribosomal RNA", at positions 24 to 631 of the family's 3401-position model. Lineage: Eukaryota; Fungi; Neocallimastigomycota; Neocallimastigomycetes; Neocallimastigales. The record is from RNAcentral.
UAUGUGAUCGUCUCUCGCAUAUCAAUAAGCGGAGGAAAAGAAACUAACAAGGAUUCCCCUAGUAACGGCGAGUGAAGCGGGAAGAGCUCAAAUUUGAAAUCUUAAAGGGUUUCCCUUUACGAAUUGUAGUUUAAAGAAGUGUUUUCUGUUGAGGUUUUGGUAAAAGCUCUUUGGAAUAGGACAUCAUAGAGGGUGAGAAUCCCGUAUUUGACCUUUACUUUCAACUUUGUGAUACACUUUCAAAGAGUCGGAUUGUUUGGGAAUGCAGUCCAAAAUGGGUGGUAAAUUUCAUCUAAAGCUAAAUAUUGGCGAGAGACCGAUAGCGAACAAGUACCGUGAGGGAAAGAUGAAAAGAACUUUGAAAAGAGAGUUAAACAGUACGUGAAAUUGUCAAAAGGGAAGCGUUUGACACCAGUGUUGUUUUUCUGAAAAUCAAUUAAAGAACUGUUUAUGCUAAGUUGUUUAGACUUUAUCAGCUAACUGUUUAGUUUUGAGCUUUUCUUUAAUGCACUUUUCAGUUAACAAGUCAACAUCAAUUUCUUUUGCUGUAAAAAAGCUUGAGGAAGGUGGCUUGAGAUUCGUCUUAAGUGUUUAUAGCCUCUUGCCUAUGCAGUCGGAGAGAUUGAGGUCUGCAGCGUAGAUCCUUCGGGGCUAAAUGCAUUUGUGCUAAGUUAUAGCAUUUUAUAGACAACUUGUUGACUAUGAUUUGUCUUGUAGCUUACUCGCUUAUGUUAUUUUACCUACGCUUAGGAUGUUGAUCUACAGAGCGAGAGU